ACUCCAUGAUGCUGACAUCUUCUCAUAAUAUCCUUAAAUCUUUCUCAUGCUUCAAACACUAUUUUUGUAUCUUGCUGCUCGAAGUUGUGGAUCUCUCUUUGAAUUU
This is a non-coding RNA of Nicotiana tabacum (common tobacco), 106 nucleotides long. The record is from Rfam. NCBI's taxonomy places the organism in Eukaryota, Viridiplantae, Streptophyta, Magnoliopsida, Solanales, Solanaceae.